GAUCAUGGCUCAGGAUGAACGCUAGCGACAGGCUUAACACAUGCAAGUCGAGGGGCAGCAUGAUUUGUAGCAAUACAGAUUGAUGGCGACCGGCGCACGGGUGAGUAACGCGUAUGCAACUUACCUAUCAGAGGGGGAUAGCCCGGCGAAAAGUCGGAUUAAUACCCCAUAAAACAGGGGUCCCGCAUGGGAAUAUUUGUUAAAGAUUCAUCGCUGAUAGAUAGGCAUGGCG
RNAcentral lists this ribosomal RNA (232 nucleotides) under uncultured bacterium. Its description in RNAcentral is "partial 16S ribosomal RNA". It matches the Rfam family "Bacterial small subunit ribosomal RNA", at positions 15 to 235 of the family's 1533-position model. The record is from RNAcentral.